UACGGAGGUUGCAAUCGUUGUCCGGAAUCAUUGGGCCUAAAGCGCUCGCAGGCGGUUUCCUAAGUCUGAUGUGAAAGCACACGGCUCAACCGUGGAGGGUCAUUGGAAACUGGGGAACUUAAGUGCAGAAGAGGAGAGUGGAAUUCCACGUGUAGCGGUGAAAUGCGUAGAGAUGUGGAGGAACACCAGUGGCGAAGGCGACUCUCUGGUCUGUAACUGACGCUGAGGAGCGAAAGCGUGGGGAGCGAACAGG
This 253-nucleotide unclassified non-coding RNA is filed under the name uncultured Bacillaceae bacterium. RNAcentral's name for it is "contains 16S-23S intergenic spacer region". It matches the Rfam family "Bacterial small subunit ribosomal RNA", at positions 524 to 776 of the family's 1533-position model. The record is from RNAcentral. Lineage: Bacteria; Bacillati; Bacillota; Bacilli; Caryophanales; Bacillaceae.